Molecule: ribosomal RNA, 468 nt
Filed under: uncultured bacterium
Lineage: Bacteria
Description: partial 16S ribosomal RNA
Rfam family: Bacterial small subunit ribosomal RNA
Source: RNAcentral
GAUGAACGCUGGCGGCGUGCCUAACACAUGCAAGUCGAGCGAUUUACUUCGGUAAAGAGCGGCGGACGGGUGAGUAACGCGUGGGUAACCUGCCUCAUACACAUGGAUAACAUACCGAAAGGUAUGCUAAUACAGGAUAAUAUAAGAGAUUCACAUGGAUUCUUUAUCAAAGCUCCGGCGGUAUGAGAUGGACCCGCGUCUGAUUAGCUAGUUGGUAAGGUAAUGGCUUACCAAGGCGACGGUCAGUAGCCGACCUGAGAGGGUGAUCGGCCACAUUGGAACUGAGACACGGUCCAAACUCCUACGGGAGGCAGCAGUGGGGAAUAUUGCACAAUGGGCGAAAGCCUGAUGCAGCAACGCCGCGUGAGUGAUGAAGGCCUUCGGGUCGUAAAACUCUGUCCUCAAGGAAGAUAAUGACGGUACUUGAGGAGGAAGCCCCGGCUAACUACGUGCCAGCCGCCGCAGUAA